Molecule: long non-coding RNA, 509 nt
Filed under: Musa acuminata (dwarf banana)
Lineage: Eukaryota; Viridiplantae; Streptophyta; Magnoliopsida; Zingiberales; Musaceae
Description: long non-coding RNA (MACU_LNC010923)
Source: RNAcentral
AGUAUACUUUGGAGGCUCUUAUGAUUUUCUUACUUGGUUCUCUUUUCCACUGUAUUCAGGGUAGCCCAGCAGUUCGCGUAUCCACUCAGAUAGAACAUCUUUCUAUAUAUGUGAAAAACCAAGCUCAUUUGUUGAAAGCCCGAAAUAUAGGAUUAUCUCCUUCCUUGGGUGGGAGUCCGAUAGAAUGAAAUCUCAUUAUGACAAUACUGAUAACAAGAAGCGGGAAAUACAGAAAUCAAACAGUGGACUCCAGGUGCUAGAGAUAGAUUCCACUCAAACUUAUUAAUGCGCUAAAGGAAGUACCAUGUAUAAGAAUUGAAACAAGUAGACUAAGAAGAGGAAUGCGCUGAAGAAAGUGUACCUAAGCCAUAGAUUACGUACCUUUACUUUAAGUCUCACGUCUGAAAUAUCAGAAUGGAAGUCAAGAGGACUUAGUGAGUUUAGAUCCCUUGAAGUCAAGAGGACUUGGUGAGUUUAGAUCCCUCGGUUAGUGAGUUACCCGCUGCUAG